This 253-nucleotide ribosomal RNA is filed under the name uncultured bacterium. Its description in RNAcentral is "partial 16S ribosomal RNA". It matches the Rfam family "Bacterial small subunit ribosomal RNA", at positions 524 to 776 of the family's 1533-position model. The record is from RNAcentral.
UACGGAAGGUGCAAGCGUUACUCGGAAUCACUGGGCGUAAAGCGCACGUAGGCGGACUUACAGGUCAAUUGUGAAAUACCUGGGCUCAACCCAGGAACUGCAGUUGAAACCGUUUGUCUUGAAUACCUGAGAGGGUGGGGGAAUACCUGGUGGAGAAGUGAAAUUCGUAGAGAUCAGGUGGAACACCGGAGGCGAAGGCGCCUGCCUGGCAGUGUAUUGACGCUGAGGUGCGAAAGUGCGGGGAGCAAACAGG